UACGUAGGAGACGAGCGUUGUCCGGAGUUACUGGGCGUAAAGGGUGCGCAGGUGGCGGCGCGCGUGGGGGGUGAAAUCGCCCGGCUUAACUGGGCGGGGGCCUUCCAGACGGCGUGGCUUGAGCAGCGGAGGGGGACGUGGAAUUCCGGGUGGAGCGGUGAAAUGCGUAGAGAUCCGGAGGAACACCGACGGCGCAGGCAGCGUCCUGGCCGCUUGCUGACACUGAGGCACGAAAGCCAGGGGAGCAAACGGG
Molecule: ribosomal RNA, 253 nt
Filed under: uncultured bacterium
Lineage: Bacteria
Description: partial 16S ribosomal RNA
Rfam family: Bacterial small subunit ribosomal RNA
Source: RNAcentral